RNAcentral lists this ribosomal RNA (400 nucleotides) under uncultured bacterium. RNAcentral's name for it is "bacterial SSU rRNA". It matches the Rfam family "Bacterial small subunit ribosomal RNA", at positions 355 to 746 of the family's 1533-position model. The record is from RNAcentral.
UAGGGAAUAUUGCGCAAUGGGGGAAACCCUGACGCAGCAACUCCGCGUGAGUGAGGAAGGCCUUCGGGUUGUAAAGCUCUGUUAUUAGGGAAAAAUGGCAAUGUAGGUAAUAUUUAUGUUGCGUGAUGGUACCUAAUGAGGAAGCACCGGCUAACUUCGUGCCAGCAGCCGCGGUAAUACGAAGGGUGCAAGCGUUGUUCGGAAUUAUUGGGCGUAAAGCGCGCGCAGGCGGAUAAUUAAGCCAGAUGUGAAAUCUCGGGGCUCAACCCCGAAACUGCGUCUGGAACUGGUUGUCUAGAGUACUGGAGGGGACAGGGGAAUUUCACGUGUAGGGGUAAAAUCCGUAGAGAUGUGAAGGAACACCGGAGGCGAAGGCGCCUGUCUGGCCAGUAACUGACGC